RNAcentral lists this ribosomal RNA (546 nucleotides) under Triticum aestivum (bread wheat). Its description in RNAcentral is "partial small subunit ribosomal RNA". Lineage: Eukaryota; Viridiplantae; Streptophyta; Magnoliopsida; Poales; Poaceae. The record is from RNAcentral.
AUGGUUGUGCUAAAGCUUGAUUUUCAAAAAGCUUUUGAUAGUGUUAGCUGGGAGGCCCUGAAAAAAAUCCUCGCGGCAAAGGGUUUCGGAGAGAGAUGGAUCAAGUGGGUGGAUGAUAUUCUAACAACUAGCUCCUCUAGAAUCUUUGUCAAUGGAAGCCCAGGCGAACAGAUCCUAUCCAAGUGUGGGCUACGACAGGGAGACGCCCUGUCCCCGUACCUUUUUAUUCUGGUAGCGGAUGUUCUCCAACAGCUCUGUAAAAGGGAGCAUCACCAGGGGAACCUUGUGCACCCCGCAGACGGGCCUUUACCCAUUCUGCAAUACGCAGAUGACACGAUGAUCUUGUUAAGAGGAGACACCCAACAAGCGGCAGUUAUCAAGCAGAUUCUAGAUGACUUCAGCAACUUCUCUGGUCUGAAAAUAAACUAUCACAAGAGCACCUUUGUUCCCAUUGGUAUAGACCAGCAAACUUCCCAAGAUAUCACUUUCCUUGCACUUACCUGGGGUUAUCACUUUCCCUUGGCAAGAUACACCAUGGUUUGUUGA